This 78-nucleotide transfer RNA is filed under the name Pyrinomonadaceae bacterium. RNAcentral's name for it is "tRNA-Thr". It matches the Rfam family "tRNA". Rfam says of the family: Transfer RNA (tRNA) molecules are approximately 80 nucleotides in length. Their secondary structure includes four short double-helical elements and three loops (D, anti-codon, and T loops). Further hydrogen bonds mediate the characteristic L-shaped molecular structure. tRNAs have two regions of fundamental functional importance: the anti-codon, which is responsible for specific mRNA codon recognition, and the 3' end, to which the tRNAs corresponding amino acid is attached (by aminoacyl-tRNA synthetases). tRNAs cope with the degeneracy of the genetic code in two manners: having more than one tRNA (with a specific anti-codon) for a particular amino acid; and 'wobble' base-pairing, i.e. permitting non-standard base-pairing at the 3rd anti-codon position. The record is from RNAcentral. Lineage: Bacteria; Pseudomonadati; Acidobacteriota; Blastocatellia; Blastocatellales; Pyrinomonadaceae.
GGCGGCGUAGCUCUAACCGGCGAGAGCGGCUGUUUCGUAAACAGCAGGUUGAGAGUUCGAAUCUCUCCGCCGCCUCCA